UUCUAAGAGGUUGAGGAGGUGCCUCUUUACUGACCAUGGUGCUAUGGGCUGGCAAUUGCCACCCUCUGUUCUCCUGUGACAGGUCUGUGUUCAGCUGGGUACUACUGUGAAGGAGGAGCCACUGAUGUCAUUCCCCGAGGGACACCUGCCUUCCCACUCAAUGGGCCCUGCCCACUUGGGCACUAUUGUCCAGAGGGUACUCAUUUCCCAAUUGCCUGCCCAGCUGGGACCCUGAACAAUGCCACAGGUGAGCAGGACUUUACCCGCAGGUUUCUCCUGUGGUCCACAGUGAUGAGGAACUUCAUUGCUGCUUGUCAUGGUGAGGGGGUGGCCUGAUGGUGACAAUGUGUUAUCAAUUGAAAUAAGCGCUGAUGGUGCUGUGACUGUACUGGGUGUCCUUCCAUCUCCCCCUGUCACUGGCCUUGACUUUUGGUUCCCUCCUCAGGUGGUACGUCCCCGGAGAGCUGUGUGCCAUGCCAUCCUGGGUCUUUCUGUGCUGGCACUGGUUUGAGUUCUCCAACAGGACCUUGUACUGAGGGGUUUUACUGCCCGGCAAACUUCAGCUCCAUCAGCCCCACGGCUUUCCUCUGCCCUAAGGUAUUGCUUAGUGACAGCGGGGCAGUGAAAGAGGUGGGUCUCAGCUCUGGGCAGGAGGUGUUGGUUUUCCACAGUGGCAAAGGAUCGAACAUGCCUCAUUGAAAUGUUGAUUACAUCCACACGGAGUGUUGGCCGAGGCUUUGGUAAUUCUGGGAUUCACUCUUUACACAGACCCUGAGUUUUUCACCAUCUCCCUGCAAUCCUCUUCCUUCUCUGUCAUUGCCAGGGUCACUUCUGCCAGACAGGGGCAGCCCUCCCCAUGCCGUGCCCUGCUGGGGAAUACCAGCCGGCCAGGGGCUCUGCAUCCUGUGUUCCGUGCCAGAGAGGAUUCUACUGCCAGGAGCCAGUGGCAGGAGACCCCAAGCGCUGCCCACCACAUUCUUACUGUCCUACAGGCACAUGGGUUCCUCUCACGUGUCCUGAAGGCACCUUCACUCCUGCAAACAUGACUGGCCUCUGGAACGAGGAGGAAUGCCUGCCUUGCUUACCCGGUCACUACUGCAGGCACGGACGGCUGGAGGGGAAGUGUGCUGCUGGAUAUUUCUGCUUUGCUGGGAGCUCUCAAUCUGCUCCCCAGGGCCACAGCUUUUCCUGGCGCUUCCUCUCUGGGUGCCGCUGGGGUCAGGCUUGUGCAGGGCUGUGUCCUGCAGGUAAGUGGGAAUCUCAAUAGUUUUUCAAGUAUAGAAUAUUGAUUUGCUUCUAAGCAACUGGAGAGCAUCUUUUAUCUUGCAU
Molecule: long non-coding RNA, 1329 nt
Filed under: Calidris pugnax (ruff)
Lineage: Eukaryota; Metazoa; Chordata; Aves; Charadriiformes; Scolopacidae
Description: lncRNA (ENSCPUG00000014074.1)
Source: RNAcentral